This 380-nucleotide ribosomal RNA is filed under the name Bacillus sp. CCH_CBGLBIQC. RNAcentral's name for it is "bacterial SSU rRNA". It matches the Rfam family "Bacterial small subunit ribosomal RNA", at positions 538 to 916 of the family's 1533-position model. Lineage: Bacteria; Bacillati; Bacillota; Bacilli; Caryophanales; Bacillaceae. The record is from RNAcentral.
GCGUUGUCCGGAAUUAUUGGGCGUAAAGCGCGCGCAGGUGGUUCCUUAAGUCUGAUGUGAAAGCCCACGGCUCAACCGUGGAGGGUCAUUGGAAACUGGGGAACUUGAGUGCAGAAGAGGAAAGUGGAAUUCCAAGUGUAGCGGUGAAAUGCGUAGAGAUUUGGAGGAACACCAGUGGCGAAGGCGACUUUCUGGUCUGUAACUGACACUGAGGCGCGAAAGCGUGGGGAGCAAACAGGAUUAGAUACCCUGGUAGUCCACGCCGUAAACGAUGAGUGCUAAGUGUUAGAGGGUUUCCGCCCUUUAGUGCUGCAGCUAACGCAUUAAGCACUCCGCCUGGGGAGUACGGCCGCAAGGCUGAAACUCAAAGGAAUUGACGG